UACCAUGGUGGUAACGGGUAACGGGGUGUUAGGGCACGACACCGGAGAGGGAGCCUGAGAAACGGCUACCACAUCCAAGGAUGGCAGCAGGCGCGCAAAUUACCCAAUCCCGACACGAGGAGGUAGUGACAAUAAAUAACAAUACGGGGUUCUUUAGGAUCUCGUAAUUGGAAUGAGUACAAUUUAAAUCUCUUAACGAGGAACAAUUGGAGGGCAAGUCUGGUGCCAGCAGCCGCGGUAAUUCCUGCUCCAAUAGCGUAUAUUAAAGCUGUUGCAGUUAAAAAGCUCGUAGUUGAAUUUCGGGGUCAGUAGGUCGGUCGUGCCACUGGUAUGAACUGGUUUUACUGAUACCUCCCUCUUGAAGAACUGUAAUGCCAUUAAUUUGGUGUUGCAGGGAAUCAGGACUGUUACUUUGAAAAAAUUAGAGUGUUUAAAGCAGGCUUUAGCUUGAAUACAUUAGCAUGGAAUAAUGAAAUAGGAUGUUUGAUCCUAUUUUGUUGGUUUCUAGGAUUGACGUAAUGAUUAAUAGGGAUAGUUGGGGGCAUUAGUAUUCAAUUGUCAGAGGUGAAAUUCUUGGAUUUAUUGAAGACCAACUACUGCGAAAGCAUUUGCCAAGGAUGUUUUCAUUAAUCAAGAACGAAAGUUAGGGGAUCGAAGACGAUCAGAUACCGUCGUAGCCUUAACCAUAAACUAUGCCGACUAGGGAUCGGAUGAUGUUAAUUUUUUAAUGACUCAUUCGGCGCCUUACGGGAAACCAAAGUGUUU
This 765-nucleotide ribosomal RNA is filed under the name uncultured Glomus. Its description in RNAcentral is "SSU rRNA". It matches the Rfam family "Eukaryotic small subunit ribosomal RNA", at positions 342 to 1108 of the family's 1831-position model. The record is from RNAcentral. Lineage: Eukaryota; Fungi; Glomeromycota; Glomeromycetes; Glomerales; Glomeraceae.